UACGGAGGGUGCAAGCGUUAUCCGGAUUCACUGGGUUUAAAGGGAGCGUAGGAGGGCAGGUAAGUCAGUGGUGAAAUCUUCGAGCUUAACUCGGAAACUGCCGUUGAUACUAUCUGUCUUGAAUACCGUGGAGAUGAGCGGAAUAUGUCAUGUAGCGGUGAAAUGCUUAGAUAUGACAUAGAACACCAAUUGCGAAGGCAGCUUACUACCCGAAUAUUGACACUGAGGCACGAAAGCGUGGGGAUCAAACAGG
RNAcentral lists this ribosomal RNA (253 nucleotides) under uncultured bacterium. Its description in RNAcentral is "partial 16S ribosomal RNA". It matches the Rfam family "Bacterial small subunit ribosomal RNA", at positions 524 to 776 of the family's 1533-position model. The record is from RNAcentral.